RNAcentral lists this ribosomal RNA (480 nucleotides) under uncultured bacterium. RNAcentral's name for it is "partial 16S ribosomal RNA". It matches the Rfam family "Bacterial small subunit ribosomal RNA", at positions 29 to 507 of the family's 1533-position model. The record is from RNAcentral.
AAUGAACGCUGGCGGCAGGCCUAACACAUGCAAGUCGAGGGGGAAGUUACUUUCUGGUGACUGAGACCUGCGUACGGGGGCGUAACGCGUAUACAAUCUGCCUUUCACUGGGCGAUAGCCCUGAUAAAUUUGGAUUAAUACCCCGUAGUAUAUAGUGACGGCAUCUUUUUUAGAUUAAAUCUGAUGUGGUGGAAGAUGAGUAUGCGUUCUAUUAGCUAGUUGGAGAGGUAACGGCUCACCAAGGCGAUGAUAGAUAGGGGAUCUGAGAGGGAUGUCCCCCAUACUGGUACUGGGAUACCGACAAGACGACUACGGGACGCAGCAGUGAGGAACAGUGGACAAUGGUCGGAAGUAUGAUACAGUCAGGCAGAGUGCAGGAUGACGGUGUUACGGAUUGUAAAAAGCUCUUGGAAGGGAAGAAUAAGGGUUACGGGUAGUUUAAUGACGGUACCUUAAGAAUAAGCACCGGCUAACUCCGUG